Molecule: ribosomal RNA, 753 nt
Filed under: Methylobacterium sp. GH-02
Lineage: Bacteria; Pseudomonadati; Pseudomonadota; Alphaproteobacteria; Hyphomicrobiales; Methylobacteriaceae
Description: bacterial SSU rRNA
Rfam family: Bacterial small subunit ribosomal RNA
Source: RNAcentral
CCCUAAUUCGACCCCCCCGCUUUUAUUUUAAUCUUCGAAAACAGGAAUGGAUUUAUUUUUUCCCGCUCAGACGAAGCUGGCGCAGGCUUACACAUCAAAUCGAACGGGCCUUCGGGGUAGCGCGGACGGGUGAGUACGCGUGGGACGUGCUUCUGGUCGGAAUAACCCGGGAAACUAGGGCUAAUCCGGGUUCGGCCCUUGGGGGAAAGGUUUACUGCCGGAAGACGGGCCCGCGUCUGAUUAGCAGGGGGGGGGGUAACGGCCUCCCAAGGCGACGAUCAGUAGCUGGUCUGAGAGGGAUGAUCAGCCACACUGGGACUGAGGACCCGGCCCAAACUUCUACGGGAGGCAGCAGUGGGGAAUAUUGGACAAGGCGGCAAGCCUGAGCCACCCUGGCGCGUGAAUGAUGAAAGCCCUAAGGUUGUUAAAGCUCUUUUACCCGGGCGAAAAAUGCCGGUCCCGGAGGAAAAAGCCCCGGGCUAACUUCGUCCCGGCAGCCCGGUAAUUCGAAGGGGGCCUACCGUUGCUCGGAAUUACUGGGCGUAAAGGGGCGCGUAGGCCGGCGUUUUAAGUCAGGGGUGAAAUCCCGUGGCUCAACCACAGAAUGGCCUUCGAUACUGGGACGCGAGUAUGGUAGAGGUUGGUGGAACUCCGAGUGUAGAGGUGAAAUUCGUAGAUAUUCGCAAGAACACCGGUGGCGAAGGCGACCAACUGGGCCAUACUGACGCUGAAGGUCCGUAUAGCGUGAAGGAC